This 468-nucleotide ribosomal RNA is filed under the name uncultured bacterium. RNAcentral's name for it is "partial 16S ribosomal RNA". It matches the Rfam family "Bacterial small subunit ribosomal RNA", at positions 28 to 507 of the family's 1533-position model. The record is from RNAcentral.
GACGAACGCUGGCGGCGUGCUUAACACAUGCAAGUCGAACGGAAAGGCCCUGCUUUUGUGGGGUGCUCGAGUGGCGAACGGGUGAGUAACACGUGAGUAACCUGCCCUUGACUUUGGGAUAACUUCAGGAAACUGGGGCUAAUACCGGAUAGGAGCUCCUGCUGCAUGGUGGGGGUUGGAAAGUUUCGGCGGUUGGGGAUGGACUCGCGGCUUAUCAGCUUGUUGGUGGGGUAGUGGCUUACCAAGGCUUUGACGGGUAGCCGGCCUGAGAGGGGGACCGGCCAAGAUAGGGCGGGAGUGAGGGCCCGCCCACACCGGGAGGGGAGGGGGGGGGAAUUAGGACAAGAGGGGGGAGGCCGGAAGGAGCAAGCCCGGGUGGGGGAGGGGGGCAUUCGGGAGGGAACCACUUUGCGCUUUAAAGGGAGGGUAAGGGCGGUAAAGGGUGAAAAAGCCCCGGGUAACUUCGUG